Molecule: ribosomal RNA, 471 nt
Filed under: uncultured bacterium
Lineage: Bacteria
Description: partial 16S ribosomal RNA
Rfam family: Bacterial small subunit ribosomal RNA
Source: RNAcentral
GACGAACGCUGGCGGCGUGCUUAACACAUGCAAGUCGAACGAUGAAGCGGUGCUUGCACCGUGGAUUAGUGGCGAACGGGUGAGUAAUACGUGAGUGACCUACCUUUGACUUUGGGAUAAGCCUGGGAAACUGGGUCUAAUACCGGAUACGCCCAAUCUCUGCAUGGGGUGUUGGUGGAAAGCGUUAUGGAGUGGUUUUAGAUGGGCUCACGGCCUAUCAGCUUGUUGGUGAGGUAAUGGCUUACCAAGGCGACGACGGGUAGCCGGCCUGAGAGGGUGACCGGCCACACUGGGACUGAGACACGGCCCAGACUCCUACGGGAGGCAGCAGUGGGGAAUAUUGCACAAUGGGCGCAAGCCUGAUGCAGCGACGCCGCGUGAGGGAUGACGGCCUUCGGGUUGUAAACCUCUGUUAGCAUCGAAGAAGCGAAAGUGACGGUAGGUGCAGAGAAAGCGCCGGCUAACUACGUG